UUAGUUAGUUGGUAGGGUAACGGCCUACCAAGGCUGCGAUGGGUAGCCGGUCUGAGAGGAUGGUCGGCCACACUGGGACUGAGACACGGCCCAGACUCCUACGGGAGGCAGCAGUGGGGAAUUUUGCGCAAUGGGGGGAACCUUGACGCAGCGACGCCGCGUGGGUGAUGAAGGCCUUCGGGUUGUAAAGCCCUGUUGGGGGGGAAGAUAAUGACGGUACCCCCUGAGGAAGCCCCGGCUAACUACGUGCCAGCAGCCGCGGUAAGACGUAGGGGGCGAGCGUUGUCCGGAAUUACUGGGCGUAAAGGGCGUGUAGGCGGCUUUUCAAGUCGGCUGUGAAAUUCCCCGGCUUAACCGGGGGGGUGCAGUCGAAACUGAUGGGCUUGAGUGCAGGAGAGGGUGGUGGAAUUCCCGGUGUAGCGGUGACAUGCGUAGAUAUCGGGAGGAACACCGGUGGCGAAGGCGACCUCCUGGCCUGUUACUGACGCUGAGGCGCGAAAGCUGGGGGAGCAAACAGGAUUAGAUACCCUGGUAGUCCCAGCUGUAAACUCUGGGUACUAGGUGUGGGGGGCUUCGAUGCCCUCUGUGCCGUAGUUAAC
RNAcentral lists this ribosomal RNA (599 nucleotides) under uncultured bacterium. Its description in RNAcentral is "partial 16S ribosomal RNA". It matches the Rfam family "Bacterial small subunit ribosomal RNA", at positions 241 to 856 of the family's 1533-position model. The record is from RNAcentral.